RNAcentral lists this long non-coding RNA (2870 nucleotides) under Diabrotica virgifera virgifera (western corn rootworm). RNAcentral describes it as "uncharacterized LOC126885153". Lineage: Eukaryota; Metazoa; Arthropoda; Insecta; Coleoptera; Chrysomelidae. The record is from RNAcentral.
UAUUUUAUUUACAUGUAAAUUGAAACAAUAAAUAUUGUGCUGUGUCAUAAUUUCAAACUCAUUCUGUUGCAGUCUUUUCCAGUUGAUAAAAUUGCAAUUCAAAAACUUUUAGAUUUGCACUGUAUGGAUGGCACAGGAAGAAGAGAACAAGAGUACAAGAACAUGAAACAUCUUAUUAUGAAUGUAUAUGUAUGUGAUCCUCAAAAAAUUAUUUUACAAAACAAGAUAGAGAAAGAGCUUUAAAAUCCCAAGGAUCCUGCAAAAUGUUUAUUUGGUGUACUAGUCGAAUAAUAGUAUCUAAAAAUAUUGAAACUAUUUUAAAACACAUUACGGGCAUGAGGAUGGUAUAGAGCACUUACAUAAACACCAAAAUCAGAUAAAUAUCUCUUCAAAGUUUAUUUUGAGACUUUCUUCAAAAAUUAAACUUCAGACUGUUCAGGAUAGCAUAAUAGCAUAGGAGGCGAAUUAAAAAGAAUUGAUUUACUUACAAGAAAAGAUAUCACAAACAUUAAACUCUCUUAUGGCAUUGAUUUGUACAAGUACAAUACUUGUUUCAAUAUUUACAUGUAAAUAAAAUAAUCCUAAUUACUUGUAAAAGUAAGGUUAUAAAUUUAAGAAUACAGAACUCUUUUAAAACCAAAGUGGCAUUAGACUAAUUUUAAAAUUCCCGCUAAAAGGAAAAAGGUAAAUCUGGCAACGGUGCCGUCGUUUGCUUUUUAAUCUCUCCCCAGCAAACGACGGCAAUGUUGCCAGAUUCCUUUUAGCGGGAAUUUUAAAAUUUUAUAGCAAUUUGACAGUUCUGUUUUCUCAAGUCAAAAAUCUUAACCUUACUUUUACAAGUGAUUAGGAAUAUUAUUAUUAUUUUAUUUAUUUACAUGUAAAUUCAAACAAUAAAUAUUGUGCUGUGUCAUAAUUUCAAACUCAUUAUGUUGCAGUCUUUUCCAGUUGAUAAAAUUGCAAUUCAAAAACUUUUAGUUAGAUUUGCACUGUAUGGCUGGCACAGGAAGAGAACAAGAGUACAAGAACAUGAAACAUCUUAUUAUGAAUGUAUAUGUAUGUGAUCCUCAAAAAAUUAUUUUACAAAACAAGAUAGAGAAAGAGCUUUAAAAUCCCAAGGAUCCUGCAAAAUGUUUAUUUGGUGUACUAGUCGAAUAAUAGUAUGUAUCUAAAAAUAUUAAAACUAUUUUAAAACACAUUAUGGGCAUGAGGAUGAUAUAGAGCAUUUACAUAAAUACCAAAAUCAGAUAAAUAUCGCUUCAAAGUUUAUUUUGAGACUUUCUUCAAAAAUGUAGGUAAGUAAAAUAUUUGCAUAUCGACGGCGGAAAGGCAGGACUUCGUAACUGAAAAAAUUUUAUAACAUGAGUUACUUCAGUUUUCGCUUUAGAAUAAGUGUAUCAGCUGCUAUUAAACAGUGAUUACAGCUGGGAAAGUUUCCGGAAGGCUUCCAAAAGGCUUUCCCAGCUCUAAAAGCUGUUUAAUAGGUGCUGAUACACUUAUUCUAAAGCGAAAACCGAAGUAACUCAUUUUAUACAAAUUUUUCAGUUAUGAGGUCCUGCCUUUCCUCCGUCAAUGUACACAAUAUAAUUUAAAACAAGAAUGUUACCACUAAACCACUUUUUAAAUAUUACUCAUGAAUAUUUACUACAGUUUACAAUUUCAAACUAGUGUAUUUGAUUCUCCUAUACCUAUAUUUUACUUUUUUAGUAAACUUCAGACUGUUCAGGAUAGCAUAAUAGCAUAGGAGGCGAAUUAAAAAGAAUUGAUUUACUUACAAGAAAAGAUAUCACAAACAUUAAACUCUCUUAUGGCAUUGAUUUGAAAGAUGGGUAUAUGUACAGGGCAUACUAAUGGAUAUUCAUUCUGAAUUUAACAUUUAUGAUUUUUGUCUUAUUUUCCUUAAUACUGUGCCAAAAGGAAAUGUUAAUUAAGUUUGGUAAAUCCUUUAUCGCAAUCGAUAGAACUCAUGGCCUCAAUUCCUAUGACUUUGAAGUUAUGACAGUAUUAGUAAAAGAUGAAUUUGGGAAUGGAUUUUGUACUGCUUUCUUAUUUUCAAAUAGAAAAGAUACCUACUUUAAUUAAUUUACCAAUUUUUUUAAAUACAUGUCUGUUGGUAUUAUGUAUAGUCAAAUGUUUUCAUAUCAGGCAUAAGCAACACCUUUUACAAUGCCUCGUCAAAUGUAAUGGGUAUUGCUCCUAAUAGACUGUUAAGUGCCUGGCACAUAGAUAGGGCAUGGUAAGUAAAUCUUAAUAAAAUAUCUGAUUCUGAAAAAAAUCCUAUUAUGUAUACAAGCUGUAUUAAUGAUGGUUUAGAGAGUAUUAAUAGCUUUUUGGGUAGACUUCUAAGUGAUGUAGAUACAUACAAUUUUAGUAAGUAUUUCCAAUAUGACCAUUCAAAAUUUUCAUAAAAUUUUGGAUAAAGGGGUAUCCAUUAGUUGUUAUCAGUUAAGUUUAAAACUUGGCACUCAUGGAGAGCUAUACCAUAAUAUAUACUAGGUAUAUCUCAUAAUAUUACAUCUCAUAUUGCUCACUCAUUACAAUAGUGAGCAAUAUGAGAUAUAACAUAUUAUAGUAUAAGUCUCUGUGCAUGACCAGAUUAACAUGUACAAGCUCCACUUGGCUGGUACCACAUACUUAAAUCAUUUAUUUAGUUACACAGUACUACUCACAUAAUUUAUGUGUCGUCAGUACACCUUCCGUAAAACCUUCGUGAUGCUACCCAUACGUCAUGGCCACUGAAUGCGUUAAAACUUGUUAAUGUAGGAGAGUUAUACUAAAAUAUAUAUCUUAUAUUAUAUUGCCUUAAAUAGAAAAAAUAUCUUAUUUAAAUUGUAUCAUGUAAGUUUUGAUUUAAUGAAAUAAACCUUUUAAUC